This 460-nucleotide ribosomal RNA is filed under the name uncultured bacterium. Its description in RNAcentral is "bacterial SSU rRNA". It matches the Rfam family "Bacterial small subunit ribosomal RNA", at positions 338 to 795 of the family's 1533-position model. The record is from RNAcentral.
CCUACGGGCGGCAGCAGUGAGGAAUAUUGGACAAUGGGCGGGAGCCUGAUCCAGCCAUGCCGCGUGCAGGAAGACUGCCCUAUGGGUUGUAAACUGCUUUUUUACGGGAAGAAACACCCCCACGUGUGGGGGCUUGACGGUACCGUACGAAUAAGGACCGGCUAACUCCGUGCCAGCAGCCGCGGUAAUACGGAGGGUCCGAGCGUUAUCCGGAAUCAUUGGGUUUAAAGGGUCCGUAGGCGGGCGUCUAAGUCAGUGGUGAAAUCUCGCGGCUCAACCGUGAAAUUGCCAUUGAUACUGGUCGCCUUGAAUUAGUGUGAAGUGGCUAGAAUAUGUAGUGUAGCGGUGAAAUGCUUAGAUAUUACAUAGAAUACCGAUUGCGAAGGCAGGUCACUAACACUAUAUUGACGCUGAGGGACGAAAGCGUGGGGAGCGAACAGGAUUAGAUACCCGGGUAGUC